This 429-nucleotide ribosomal RNA is filed under the name Chloroflexota bacterium. RNAcentral's name for it is "Chloroflexi bacterium partial 16S ribosomal RNA". It matches the Rfam family "Bacterial small subunit ribosomal RNA", at positions 355 to 776 of the family's 1533-position model. Lineage: Bacteria; Bacillati; Chloroflexota. The record is from RNAcentral. RNAcentral also lists the same sequence under 1 other name.
UGGGGAAUAUUGCACAAUGGGCGCAAGCCUGAUGCAGCCAUGCCGCGUGUAUGAAGAAGGCCUUCGGGUUGUAAAGUACUUUCAGCGGGGAGGAAGGGAGUAAAGUUAAUACCUUUGCUCAUUGACGUUACCCGCAGAAGAAGCACCGGCUAACUCCGUGCCAGCAGCCGCGGUAAUACGGAGGGUGCAAGCGUUAAUCGGAAUUACUGGGCGUAAAGCGCACGCAGGCGGUUUGUUAAGUCAGAUGUGAAAUCCCCGGGCUCAACCUGGGAACUGCAUCUGAUACUGGCAAGCUUGAGUCCCGUAGAGGGGGGUAGAAUUCCAGGUGUAGCGGUGAAAUGCGUAGAGAUCUGGAGGAAUACCGGUGGCGAAGGCGGCCCCCUGGACGAAGACUGACGCUCAGGUGCGAAAGCGUGGGGAGCAAACAGG